UCUCCUGGAAACGGGUGGUAAUGCCGGAUGUUCCACAUGAGCGCAUGCGAGUGUGGGAAAGGCUUUUUGCGGCAUGGGAUGGGGUCGCGUCCUAUCAGCUUGUUGGUGGGGUAACGGCCUACCAAGGCGUUGACGGGUAGCCGGCCUGAGAGGGCGACCGGCCACAUUGGGACUGAGAUACGGCCCAGACUCCUACGGGAGGCAGCAGUGGGGAAUAUUGCACAAUGGGCGCAAGCCUGAUGCAGCGACGCCGCGUGCGGGAUGGAGGCCUUCGGGUUGUAAACCACUUUUGUUCAAGGGCAAGGCACGGUUUCGGCCGUGUUGAGUGGAUUGUUCGAAUAAGCACCGGCUAACUACGUGCCAGCAGCCGCGGUAAUACGUAGGGUGCAAGCGUUAUCCGGAUUUAUUGGGCGUAAAGGGCUCGUAGGCGGUUCGUCGCGUCCGGUGUGAAAGUCCAUCGCUUAACGGUGGAUCCGCGCCGGGUACGGGCGGGCUUGAGUGCGGUAGGGGAGACUGGAAUUCCCGGUGUAACGGUGGAAUGUGUAGAUAUCGGGAAGAACACC
Molecule: ribosomal RNA, 563 nt
Filed under: uncultured Bifidobacterium sp.
Lineage: Bacteria; Bacillati; Actinomycetota; Actinomycetes; Bifidobacteriales; Bifidobacteriaceae
Description: bacterial SSU rRNA
Rfam family: Bacterial small subunit ribosomal RNA
Source: RNAcentral